RNAcentral lists this transfer RNA (66 nucleotides) under Inocellia fulvostigmata. Its description in RNAcentral is "tRNA-His". The record is from RNAcentral. Lineage: Eukaryota; Metazoa; Arthropoda; Insecta; Raphidioptera; Inocelliidae.
AUUUAAAUAGUUUAAUUUAAAAAUAUUGAUUUGUGGAAUCAAAGUUAUAAUGUAUUAUUUUAAAUA